RNAcentral lists this ribosomal RNA (253 nucleotides) under uncultured bacterium. RNAcentral describes it as "partial 16S ribosomal RNA". It matches the Rfam family "Bacterial small subunit ribosomal RNA", at positions 524 to 776 of the family's 1533-position model. The record is from RNAcentral.
UACGAAGGGGGCUAGCGUUGCUCGGAAUCACUGGGCGUAAAGGGUGCGUAGGCGGGUCUUUAAGUCAGGGGGGAAAUCCUGGAGCUCAACUCCAGAACUGCCUUUGAUACUGAAGAUCUUGAGUUCGGGAGAGGUGAGUGGAACUGCGAGUGUAGAGGUGAAAUUCGUAGAUAUUCGCAAGAACACCAGUGGCGAAGGCGGCUCACCGGCCCGAUACUGACGCUGAGGCACGAAAGCGUGGGGAGCAAACAGG